This 249-nucleotide unclassified non-coding RNA is filed under the name Hevea brasiliensis (rubber tree). Lineage: Eukaryota; Viridiplantae; Streptophyta; Magnoliopsida; Malpighiales; Euphorbiaceae. The record is from RNAcentral.
AGCACUCAAUUAUAGCCAUGCAAAGCAAAUCACAGCCUAUCUGCCUCUACAAUCUCAAUGUUCGACUACAGACUCAUCAGGAUAUUAUAAAGGCACAAAAAAUAAAAUCAAAUGACAACAAGGUACUUUGAAUGGAAUGGAAACAACCCUAGAAAAAGUGAAGUUGAUGAAGGUGUUUUACUGAGGAUAUCCAGAGGGAGUUUUGUGGAAAAUUUUUCUAUUAGAAUUUGUUUUGAUCACAGUAAAAUA